UUGUUGUAAAUAGCCAGCGUCGUAACUAAGCGAAGUGCAAUAUUUGUAGUUGGGUCAUUCUACAGAAACGGUGGCAUUCCUGUGUCUCACCUUUAGAGCAAGCAAAAUACUUUAUAUUUAUCAAAAAUAUAUAUUACAUGUGAUCAUUAAGUCCAUUUAGACUGUUCUUAUAAUAGUAAAACAUAUUUGAGUCAUGUAAUGAGCAAUUCUUGUUUUUUAAUCAUUUAUAUAAAAUAGCAAGUGCAAGUGUAACCCAGGGUUCCAAGACACAUAUUGAAUAGAUAGUGAAACAAAGAAAAAUAGUAAAUAACUAGUAGCAAGUAAAUAAGUAAAUUAUCAUUCAAAAUGGAGACAAAAGAAAAAGACUUUUAAUAAGGAAAAAUACACUUUCUUUAUGUGCAGAAAGAUAAGUUGAUAGAAGGAUUAGACAACCAAUGCGGAUAAUGAUACUUGUUGUACAUUUGUUGAUUGGUCAUGUCAGAUGACAAGCCCGCCCUAACUUCCUCUGGUCAAGAUGGCUUGAGCGACAGCAGACAUGCGAAAAUUUCUCUGAACAGAUUAAGCUAAUUCGAAGUGAAUUACAAGUGAAUUUAGGAUACAAUUGCAGAUAUUUUAUUGAGGAGUGACAGUAACUUGAAAAGAAACAGAUUUAUAAAGAAAUAACGAAGAUUUGCAACGUUCUUCUAUCGCCCUGUGUGACGACCGCGUGAAAGAAAAUUUUCUGCAUUCGCCAUUAAGAUCGUUGAAAACCGAACUUUGUACAACUUUGAACAUAUUCCUUGGCCGGGUUUUUUUUUUUGUUGGAGUUGUUUUUUUGUUGGUGGAUUUGAACUGCUGUGCUGGAUCCUGGAUUCGUCCGCCCUGCUUGCCUUCCCUGGAGAGCUACAGCGGCGCGCGGACUGGCGAGCCACCCAUGUGAUCGACCUGAAAUCUUAAAGAGAAGGAAAGAGUUCAAUUGUGCUUUCUAAGAUGGUGGUAGGACAAGAGUUUGAAUUCUACAAACUGGAACUCAGCAACAAGUGGUCCAACAACCACACGGACUAAACUGAUUUGCACAGAUAGUGUUUUAGAAAAGUGUUUUGGUGUUAUAGUGUGAUAAGUUUCCUUUGCAUAGGUACUUUCAGUAGUACUACAUAAGGGUCUUGGUUUCAAAAUAAAAGUCCUAAAAUCUAAUUAGUGACAAAUCAUACUAGAACCAAAUAACUAAUAAUAGGGAUUAACUGAAACACAUCAAAGAAAUACUAAAAGUAUGGUUAAGGUAUAAAGAUAGGAAAAAUAGUCAAAUUAGUGGAACCAGAGAAAAUAUAAAUACAGACACAAAGUAAAAGGGCUUGGGACCAACUUGUAUUUUUUUCCUUUCCCCAUUUUGUAGAUAUGUGUACUGUUGUUGUUUAAUGCUUUCUACUUUGUAAUAAAAACAAAGGGUACAGAGAACCAAAAAGGGAAAAUUUAAAUUUAAAAGAAAAAAAAUCAUUCUCUUACCUUUGAAAUAUA
Molecule: long non-coding RNA, 1494 nt
Organism: Anguilla rostrata (American eel)
Lineage: Eukaryota; Metazoa; Chordata; Actinopteri; Anguilliformes; Anguillidae
Exons: 2
Source: RefSeq, a predicted model, not a curated record